GAGUUGAUCCCUGGCUCAGGAUAAACGCUGGCGGCGCACAUAAGACAUGCAAGUCGAACGAACUUAACCUUUAGUUUACUAUAGGAGCGGUUAGUGGCGGACUGGUGAGUAACACGUAAGCAACCUGCCUAUCAGAGGGGAACAACAGUUAGAAAUGACUGCUAAUACCGCAUAUACCUAAGUAUCGCAUGAUACAAUAGGGAAAGGAGCAAUCCGCUGAUAGAUGGGCUUGCGUCUGAUUAGAUAGUUGGUGGGGUAACGGCCUACCAAGUCGACGAUCAGUAGCCGGACUGAGAGGUUGAACGGCCACAUUGGGACUGAGAUACGGCCCAGACUCCUACGGGAGGCAGCAGUCGGGAAUAUUGCGCAAUGGAGGAAACUCUGACGCAGUGACGCCGCGUGCAGGAAGAAGGUUU
This 416-nucleotide ribosomal RNA is filed under the name uncultured bacterium. RNAcentral's name for it is "bacterial SSU rRNA". It matches the Rfam family "Bacterial small subunit ribosomal RNA", at positions 9 to 417 of the family's 1533-position model. The record is from RNAcentral.